This 91-nucleotide transfer RNA is filed under the name Marinicauda salina. Its description in RNAcentral is "Marinicauda sp. WD6-1 tRNA-Ser". It matches the Rfam family "tRNA". Rfam says of the family: Transfer RNA (tRNA) molecules are approximately 80 nucleotides in length. Lineage: Bacteria; Pseudomonadati; Pseudomonadota; Alphaproteobacteria; Maricaulales; Maricaulaceae. The record is from RNAcentral.
GGAGAGGUGGCCGAGUGGUCGAAGGCGCUCCCCUGCUAAGGGAGUAUACGGCAAAACCGUAUCGGGGGUUCGAAUCCCCUCCUCUCCGCCA